Molecule: ribosomal RNA, 468 nt
Filed under: uncultured Streptococcus sp.
Lineage: Bacteria; Bacillati; Bacillota; Bacilli; Lactobacillales; Streptococcaceae
Description: bacterial SSU rRNA
Rfam family: Bacterial small subunit ribosomal RNA
Source: RNAcentral
ACGGGGCCCGCACAAGCGGUGGAGCAUGUGGUUUAAUCGAAGCAACGCGAAGAACCUUUACAGGUCUUGACAUCCCGAUGCUAUUUCUAGAGAUAGAAAGUUACUUCGGUACAUCGGUGACAGGUGGUGCAUGGUUGUCGUCAGCUCGUGUCGUGAGAUGUUGGGUUAAGUCCCGCAACGAGCGCAACCCCUAUUGUUAGUUGCCAUCAUUCAGUUGGGCACUCUAGCGAGACUGCCGGUAAUAAACCGGAGGAAGGUGGGGAUGACGUCAAAUCAUCAUGCCCCUUAUGACCUGGGCUACACGCGUGCUACAAUGGUUGGUACAACGAGUUGCGAGUCGGUGACGGCGAGCUAAUCUCUUAAAGCCAAUCUCAGUUCGGAUUGUAGGCUGCAACUCGCCUACAUGAAGUCGGAAUCGCUAGUAAUCGCGGAUCAGCACGCCCGCGGUCGAAUACGUUCCCGGGCCUU